GUAGUUGUGUCCGAGUGGUUGAGGAAUCAGGCGUUCCCUGUUAAGGAAAUUUCCUCGCAUGGGUUCGAAUCCCAUCAACUGCC
Molecule: transfer RNA, 83 nt
Filed under: Trichonephila clavata
Lineage: Eukaryota; Metazoa; Arthropoda; Arachnida; Araneae; Nephilidae
Description: tRNA-Asn
Rfam family: tRNA
About the family: Transfer RNA (tRNA) molecules are approximately 80 nucleotides in length. Their secondary structure includes four short double-helical elements and three loops (D, anti-codon, and T loops).
Source: RNAcentral